UACGUAGGGGGCUAGCGUUGUCCGGAUUUAUUGGGCGUAAAGAGCGUGUAGGCGGCCAGGUAGGACUGCUGUGAAAACUCGAGGCUCAACCUCGAGACGUCGGCGGAAACCAUCUGGCUAGAGUCCGGAAGAGGAGAGUGGAAUUCCUGGUGUAGCGGUGAAAUGCGCAGAUAUCAGGAAGAACACCCGUGGCGAAGGCGGCUCUCUGGGACGGUACUGACGCUGAGACGCGAAAGCGUGGGGAGCGAACAGG
RNAcentral lists this ribosomal RNA (253 nucleotides) under uncultured bacterium. RNAcentral describes it as "partial 16S ribosomal RNA". It matches the Rfam family "Bacterial small subunit ribosomal RNA", at positions 524 to 776 of the family's 1533-position model. The record is from RNAcentral.